This 459-nucleotide ribosomal RNA is filed under the name uncultured bacterium. RNAcentral describes it as "partial 16S ribosomal RNA". It matches the Rfam family "Bacterial small subunit ribosomal RNA", at positions 338 to 795 of the family's 1533-position model. The record is from RNAcentral.
CCUACGGGAUGCAGCAGUGAGGAAUAUUGGUCAAUGGCCGGAAGGCUGAACCAGCCAAGCCGCGUGAAGGACGAAGGUGCCAAGCAUUGUAAACUUCUUUUGUCAAGGGACAAAAUCAGGCUCGAGAGCCUGACCGAGGGUACUUGAAGAAAAAGCAUCGGCUAACUCCGUGCCAGCCGCCGCGGUAAUACGGAGGAUGCGAGCGUUAUCCGGAUUUAUUGGGUUUAAAGGGUGCGUAGGCGGGCGGUUAAGUCAGCGGUAAGAGCACGGGGCUCAACCCCGGCGAGCCGUUGAAACUGGGUGUCUUGAGAGGGCGAGAGGUAUGCGGAAUGCGCGGUGUAGCGGUGAAAUGCAUAGAUAUCGCGCAGAACUCCGAUUGCGAAGGCAGCAUACCGGCGGCGAACUGACGCUGAGGCACGAAAGCGUGGGUAUCGAACAGGAUUAGAUACCCGAGUAGUC